UACGUAGGGGGCUAGCGUUGUCCGGAAUCAUUGGGCGUAAAGCGCGUGUAGGCGGUCCGGUAAGUCCACUGUGAAAGUCGGGGGCUCAACCCUCGGAUGCCGGUGGAUACUGUCGGGCUUGAGUACGGAAGAGGCGAGUGGAAUUCCUGGUGUAGCGGUGAAAUGCGCAGAUAUCAGGAGGAACACCAAUUGCGAAGGCAGCUCGCUGGGACGUUACUGACGCUGAGACGCGAAAGCGUGGGGAGCAAACAGGAUUAGAAACC
This 263-nucleotide ribosomal RNA is filed under the name uncultured bacterium. RNAcentral's name for it is "partial 16S ribosomal RNA". It matches the Rfam family "Bacterial small subunit ribosomal RNA", at positions 524 to 786 of the family's 1533-position model. The record is from RNAcentral.